This 305-nucleotide ribosomal RNA is filed under the name uncultured bacterium. RNAcentral's name for it is "bacterial SSU rRNA". It matches the Rfam family "Bacterial small subunit ribosomal RNA", at positions 337 to 658 of the family's 1533-position model. The record is from RNAcentral.
UCCUACAGGGGGCAGCAGUGGGGAAUAUUGCACAAUGGGGGGAACCCUGAUGCAGCGACGCCGCGUGAGUGAAGAAGUAUUUCGGUAUGUAAAGCUCUAUCAGCAGGGAAGAAAAUGACGGUACCUGACUAAGAAGCCCCGGCUAACUACGUGCCAGCAGCCGCGGUAAUACGUAGGGGGCAAGCGUUGUUCGGAAUGACUGGGCGUAAAGGGUGUGUAGGCGGUGUAGCAAGUUAGAAGUGAAAUACCUAGAGCUUAACUCAGGUGCUGCUUCUAAAACUGCUAUACUUGAGUGCAGUAGAGGA